AUGCGUUGUUGGGUAGGGGAGCGUUCUGUAAGCCUGCGAAGGUGUGCUGUGAGGCAUGCUGGAGGUAUCAGAAGUGCGAAUGCUGACAUAAGUAACGAUAAAGCGGGUGAAAAGCCCGCUCGCCGGAAGACCAAGGGUUCCUGUCCAACGUUAAUCGGGGCAGGGUGAGUCGACCCCUAAGGCGAGGCCGAAAGGCGUAGUCGAUGGGAAACAGGUUAAUAUUCCUGUACUUGGUGUUACUGCGAAGGGGGGACGGAGAAGGCUAUGUUGGCCGGGCGACGGUUGUCCCGGUUUAAGCGUGUAGGCUGGUUUUCCAGGCAAAUCCGGAAAAUCAAGGCUGAGGCGUGAUGACGAGGCACUACGGUGCUGAAGCAACAAAUGCCCUGCUUCCAGGAA
This 396-nucleotide ribosomal RNA is filed under the name Escherichia coli. Its description in RNAcentral is "partial 23S ribosomal RNA". It matches the Rfam family "Bacterial large subunit ribosomal RNA", at positions 1216 to 1614 of the family's 2925-position model. The record is from RNAcentral. Lineage: Bacteria; Pseudomonadati; Pseudomonadota; Gammaproteobacteria; Enterobacterales; Enterobacteriaceae.